UCGGGAAUUUUGGGCAAUGGGCGAAAGCCUGACCCAGCAACGCCGCGUGAAGGAUGAAGUAUUUCGGUAUGUAAACUUCGUAAGAAUAGGAAGAAUCAAUGACGGUACUAUUUGUAAGCUCCGGCUAACUACGUGCCAGCAGCCGCGGUAAUACGUAGGGGGCAAGCGUUGUUCGGAUUUACUGGGCGUAAAGGGCGCGUAGGCGGCGUGACAAGUCACUUGUGAAAUCUCCGGGCUUAACUCGGAACGG
RNAcentral lists this ribosomal RNA (250 nucleotides) under uncultured bacterium. RNAcentral's name for it is "partial 16S ribosomal RNA". It matches the Rfam family "Bacterial small subunit ribosomal RNA", at positions 355 to 622 of the family's 1533-position model. The record is from RNAcentral.